This 415-nucleotide long non-coding RNA is filed under the name Brassica napus (rape). RNAcentral's name for it is "long non-coding RNA (BNAP_LNC005834)". The record is from RNAcentral. Lineage: Eukaryota; Viridiplantae; Streptophyta; Magnoliopsida; Brassicales; Brassicaceae.
AAAAUAAAUAGAAGUAUACUAGAGUAUCUUUAAUCUCAUUUCAUUUCAAAACAGAAUUUGGAAUAAGAAAUAUUCUAAAAUCUAUUUUAUUUUUAGCUUAAGUAUGAGUACACUGCUUAAAUAGAAUAAUAUUUUUUUGGUCACUAUUUAAUUUUCAACAUCAAAAUAAAAUGUAAUUAAAAUAAAACCAGUUUCAUUAUAUAAUUAUUCUAUUUUAGAAGAAAAAUAGAAUUUUAAAUCGAAAAUGCUCUUACACAAUAUUUUGCUCUAUAAUUUUAAAAUAAAAAAGUAGAUUGUAAUAAAUGCUCUAUAUCUUCUUUUACUUUUUUUUAUAGAAGGCACAAAUUAUAACGAAAGCUACCUUAAAAUAAACACAAAUAUAUAUAAUAGGGACAACAAUAUGUCCAUUCAUCAC